UACGUAGGGCGCGAGCGUUGUCCGGAAUUAUUGGGCGUAAAGAGCUCGUAGGUGGCUUGUCGCGUCUGCCGUGAAAGGCCUGGGCUUAACCCGGGUUCUGCGGUGGAUACGGGCUGGCUAGAGGUAGGUAGGGGAGAACGGAAUUCCUGGUGUAGCGGUGAAAUGCGCAGAUAUCAGGAGGAACACCGGUGGCGAAGGCGGUUCUCUGGGCCUUACCUGACGCUGAGGAGCGAAAGCGUGGGGAGCGAACAGGAUUAGAUACCCCCGUAGUCC
RNAcentral lists this ribosomal RNA (273 nucleotides) under uncultured bacterium. RNAcentral describes it as "partial 16S ribosomal RNA". It matches the Rfam family "Bacterial small subunit ribosomal RNA", at positions 524 to 796 of the family's 1533-position model. The record is from RNAcentral.